Molecule: long non-coding RNA, 1967 nt
Filed under: Gallus gallus (chicken)
Lineage: Eukaryota; Metazoa; Chordata; Aves; Galliformes; Phasianidae
Description: lncRNA (ENSGALG00000047423.1)
Source: RNAcentral
AAAGAAGUCCUUUCAGCUUCACACCACAGGGAUCUGAACACAUGGAGAACUGCACAGAACCAUGAUCUUGGAGGCUCCCCAGGACAGUGUCUCAUGUGAAAGGGCACCAUGGGGCUGACUUGGACAGUUUUCUUUCAGUGUACAUCACGUUCUCCACACAAGAAAAUCUCCUUGCUUUUACAUCUCUGGGGAAGGCAGGCAUUGCCUAAAAAUCUACUGAUGAAAACUUUAUAUACAGUCUGGGUCAAACUGGAGUGUUUUGAUUCAGAUGUUUUGGAACUCUUCAUAGACAGGUGCUGCAACAGUUGGUCCAACCUACUGACCAAUAUACUGAUACUCAAAGAAAUUAAACAACAUCCCUGAAGACCUCAGCAUGCAGGAUCCCAGCAAAACAAGCCCUUGCUUUUCAGCAUCCUGCUCUAGCAAGCAGGUCGGUUGCUCUUACUUCUCUAUGAGAACCAAAACUCAUUUUUUUUCCCCAUAAAAUAACAAAAGUAAAUAAAAAGAAAACAACAAGAACAUCAAAUGAAAACAAGGGAUCACCACUUUCUGAGAGGUUUAGAAACACACUUUCAGUAUUUCUCAGCAUGUACCUAAGCAUAACCAUUGUUUCUGUCUCCAUUUUUAUUGCUCUAGGCAAUGGAAACUGUAGUUUCUAUAUUUAAUGUAUUGAAACUGCCUGGUCUCCAAGGUAGCAGGGGUAUCUAUAUACACCAGUCGAAUACAUUUCAGGCUCAAUCACUUUGAAAGCCUGGAUAAUAGAGGAGCACUUGUACUUUGGAUAACAAAGUUAUUUCCUUUAACAUCAACAAGCAGCUCAGUUAGGAACUGCAUCAGGCAUUGAUUUUGUUAGCCUGUUUGCAGGCACUGUUGGGGCCUUUUUAACUAGUAAAACUUAAAAAAAAAACAAAAAACAAACAAACAAAAAAAAACAAGAAGGUUUGCAGAUCAUUCUUCAUAUGCAUUUUUUCACAGAGCAGAGCUGACAGGAGGAGCUAUAUUAAUUUCACCAUUGCUGAUUUGAAUGUCAGGUGAACAUCUGUAGGACCAGUCCUGGAUCUGUCAAUUGCAGCCUCCUUGUUUUAAGACACACUGAAGCUCGAACUUACAUCUCAAGCCAAAUUUUAUACCUGGUUCCUAUUGGGAUUGUAAAUGUGCCUUCAAUUCCAGACUUGCAGCUUAGAUUCUGGACUAAGAGCCUCAACACACAACCAGAUUCGGAUGUGGGCUUCUUCCUGCUAUACUCAAGCCUAUUUAUUUCCAUUUCCUAUUUACUCAUUUAUCCUUACCUGAUGCUAAAUUAAAAGUAUCAUAAGCCACUCAUUAUGUAUUCCCAGAGUCACCGUAACCUGGCCAUCUGUUCUAUUGUUUUUAUUGUAAGAAAUGCUUGAUCUACAUUUUUUCCUUAUAUCACAUACUCUGGCUAGCAGCAGGAUUGCAGGACCCAGCACAUCCCUCCUCCCACUCCCCACCACGCAAUUCCUUUUAUCAGUAACGGGAACGAGGCACAUACAUGGAAAAGAAAGCAGAUUCCUUAGAGUAAACUUUCUGACAGAAGAGUUCGUAACAACUUUUCAAAAAAAAAAAAAAAAAAACAACCCACACGUCUCGUUUAUUUUCCCCUUUCUUCCUCCCAGCUUUAUGUCAGUCAUCAAUCGAACAGGAGACAACUCAUUUCAUUUCUGUGACACGCAAUGAUGGACUUGUGUUACAACCCCGACUUAUUUUGAGAACUUCAAUUUCUCAAGCUGAAAGUCUGAAUGUCCCAUGCUUGGAAGGGCUAUUGAUCUGAUGUAGAUGGACAGCUCAAGAGGAACUGAUACAUUCCUUACAGCAAUUUUUUUUGGACCACUACAUAAUGUAGACUUUCUGGUUGUUUGUUGACAUCUAAAAACUUUGAUUCUGUGAUUUCACUGAUACUCUUUUGCAGGUUUUACUCAAUAUUUCCCUGCGCUAUUUGAUGUAGG